Molecule: unclassified non-coding RNA, 280 nt
Filed under: Hevea brasiliensis (rubber tree)
Lineage: Eukaryota; Viridiplantae; Streptophyta; Magnoliopsida; Malpighiales; Euphorbiaceae
Source: RNAcentral
AUGCAAUCCAAACAAUACAUAUUACAUUCACUCUUAUGAGAAUCGACGUGAAACUUGCAUUGAACAAAGAAGGUUUCACGGAGUAAAGGUUUCAGCCAUGGCGGCCAUCUGUUAUCUUCAUCCUCAGGACAACCAACACCCAUGAUUGUUGGAUUGUUGGGGUGGAUUUCUUCGAUAGCCAGAUUGAAGGAGGAAGAGAGUAGAAGAGAGAGAGAGAGGGUUUUAGAGUAAGGGGCGGCGAAGGGAAAAGGAAAGGGAAAGGGGAUUCUUGUAAGAGAGG